GUUCCUACGGGGCGCAGCAGUGAGGAAUAUUGGUCAAUGGUCGGGAGACUGAACCAGCCAAGCCGCGUGAGGGAGGAAGGUACAGAGUAUCGUAAACCUCUUUUGUCAGGGAACAAAGGCGGGGACGUGUCCCCGGAUGAGUGUACCUGAAGAAAAAGCAUCGGCUAACUCCGUGCCAGCAGCCGCGGUAAUACGGAGGAUGCGAGCGUUAUCCGGGUUUAUUGGAUUUAAAGGGGGCGCAGGCGGUCUGGUAAGUCAGCGGUCAAAGCCCGGGGCUCAACCCCGGCCCGCCGUUGAAACUGGCG
Molecule: ribosomal RNA, 305 nt
Filed under: uncultured bacterium
Lineage: Bacteria
Description: bacterial SSU rRNA
Rfam family: Bacterial small subunit ribosomal RNA
Source: RNAcentral